CGGACGGGUGAGUAAUGUCUGGGAAACUGCCUGAUGGAGGGGGAUAACUACUGGAAACGGUAGCUAAUACCGCAUAACGUCGCAAGACCAAAGAGGGGGACCUUCGGGCCUCUUGCCAUCGGAUGUGCCCAGAUGGGAUUAGCUAGUAGGUGGGGUAACGGCUCACCUAGGCGACGAUCCCUAGCUGGUCUGAGAGGAUGGCCAGCCACGCUGGAACUGAGACACGGUCCAG
RNAcentral lists this ribosomal RNA (232 nucleotides) under uncultured bacterium. RNAcentral's name for it is "partial 16S ribosomal RNA". It matches the Rfam family "Bacterial small subunit ribosomal RNA", at positions 99 to 334 of the family's 1533-position model. The record is from RNAcentral.